RNAcentral lists this unclassified non-coding RNA (506 nucleotides) under Hevea brasiliensis (rubber tree). Lineage: Eukaryota; Viridiplantae; Streptophyta; Magnoliopsida; Malpighiales; Euphorbiaceae. The record is from RNAcentral.
GGGGCUCGUCCUCUUGCAGGAGAGCAUGAUUGCCGUCUUGCUCUCCCAUUAGGAGUAGGUUCAAUAGAGGAAGAUCUAGAACUGGGUGCUCCAGGCCUACCCCUAGUGGCUGAAAGCGGCCGCUCAGGUAGUGAUGUUCUCAAAUUUGGUGGAGUAUCAAGUGAGAAACCAGGCAUCUCUGAGGGUUUCCAUGGUCUAGAUUUUACAGUUGGAGAAGUGCCGCGUGAUGGCACUGGAUUUCUUGCCAUUGUGGGUGUUGUCUUGGUAANNNNNNCUGAAGGAAUUGACUUAACAGGAGGACCAGAUACAGUAGCAGUUGCAGGCAUUGUCUUGGUAACUGAAGUCAACUUAACAGGAGCAGACAUAGUCGGUGCACUUGAUGGAGUGGAUAGCCGUCGGGUUGGGGUUGAUGCCCUCGAUGUGGAUUUAGGUGGAGGAAUUGAAGGCCUCGUAGUUGGUGUUGAUGACCUUGCAGUGGAUCUUGAUGGUGUUGAAGAUCUAGUAGG